CUUCAAAAAAAAAAAUAAAGAACCUAUAUUAUGAUAUGUGUU
This 42-nucleotide transfer RNA is filed under the name Ocellochloa stolonifera. Its description in RNAcentral is "partial tRNA-Leu". Lineage: Eukaryota; Viridiplantae; Streptophyta; Magnoliopsida; Poales; Poaceae. The record is from RNAcentral.